This 1537-nucleotide small RNA is filed under the name Pan troglodytes (chimpanzee). RNAcentral's name for it is "processed transcript". Lineage: Eukaryota; Metazoa; Chordata; Mammalia; Primates; Hominidae. The record is from RNAcentral.
AUUCCAAGAACCUGGACAACUUGCCAUCAAGACUUUCCAUCAGGUCUUAAAAAUAAAUAUGAAUUUAGAUUCCAUACAUCGAUUAAUUGAGGAAACACAGAUCUUCCAGAUGCAACAAUCAUCAAUUAAGUCACGCGGCGACAUGGUGGCACCUGCCUCACCCCCCAGGGAUACCUGUAAUACCUGCUUCCCACUUCAUGGGCUACAAUCUCAUGCUGCUCACAAUUUCUGUGCUCACUCAUAUAACACCAACGAAUGGGAUAUUUGUGAAGAACUUCGCUUGCGGGAGCUUGAAGAAGUCAAGGCCAGAGCUGCUCAGAUGGAAAAGACCAUGCGGUGGUGGUCGGACUGCACUGCCAACUGGAGAGAAAAAUGGAGUAAAGUUCGAGCUGAAAGGAACAGUGCCAGGGAGGAAGGAAGACAACUCAGAAUAAAACUAGAGAUGGCGAUGAAAGAAUUGAGUACACUGAAAAAGAAACAGAGUUUGCCACCUCAGAAGGAGGCAUUAGAAGCUAAAGUUACCCAGGAUCUGAAGCUUCCUGGCUUCGUAGAAGAAUCCUGUGAACAUACAGACCAAUUUCAAUUGAGUUCACAAAUGCAUGAGUCUAUCAGAGAGUAUUUGGUAAAAAGACAAUUUUCUACAAAGGAGGACACAAAUAAUAAGGAACAAGGUGUGGUUAUUGAUUCUUUAAAAUUAAGUGAGGAGAUGAAGCCCAAUCUAGAUGGUGUUGAUUUAUUCAACAAUGGUGGUUCUGGAAACGGUGAAACGAAAACUGGGCUGAGACUGAAAGCAAUAAAUCUGCCUUUGGAAAAUGAAGUAACUGAAAUUUCAGCUUUGCAGGUGCAUUUGGAUGAAUUCCAAAAAGUCUUAUGGAAGGAAAGAGAAAUGCGCACAGCUUUGGAAGAAGAAAUAGAGAGACUGGAGUCGGCUUUGUCUCUGUGGAAGUGGAAGUAUGAGGAACUGAAAGAAUCAAAGCCAAAACAUGUGAAAGAGUUUGACAUUCUUCUUGGUCAACAUAAUGAUGAAAUUGAAGAACUGUCAGGCAAUAUAAAGGAAGAAUCCAAAUCUCAAAACAGCAAAGACAGAGUGAUUUGUGAGUUAAGAGCAGAGCUAGAGAGAUUGCAAGCUGAAAAUACCUCGGAGUGGGACAAGAGGGAAAUACUUGAAACAGAAAAGCAGGGACUGGAGAGAGAAAAUAGAAGGCUGAAGAUCCAGGUGAAAGAAAUGGAAGAGCUCUUGGAUAAGAAAAAUAGAUUAAGUGCAAACUCUCAAAGUCCUGAUUUCAAGAUGUCACAAAUUGAUCUGCAAGAAAAAAACCAGGAUGUAAAAUAAUGUUCAUGCAUCUGAAACAAAGUGUGUCAAAUGUUAAAAUAUGACAAAUCUUCAGAAAGUUUCAAGAUUUCCAAAAGAAAGAAGAAAAAUGAAGUAAGAAAUAGACCUUUCUGGUUUUUUGUUUCUUAUUAAAGCUUUGUCUCAGUAUUUUCUAAGCUAAUGAUCUUAUUUCCAAUAAAGAUUUUUUCAUUAAUUCAAGCGACU